This 253-nucleotide ribosomal RNA is filed under the name uncultured bacterium. Its description in RNAcentral is "partial 16S ribosomal RNA". It matches the Rfam family "Bacterial small subunit ribosomal RNA", at positions 524 to 776 of the family's 1533-position model. The record is from RNAcentral.
UACGUAGGGUGCGAGCGUUGCCCGGAUUUAUUGGGCGUAAAGGGCGCGUAGGCGGCCACGCACGUCCGUUGUGAAAUCGCCCGGCUCAACUGGGCGGGGUCGGCGGAUACGGCGUGGCUGGAGCAAGCUAGGGGGCAAUGGAAUUCCCGGUGUAGUGGUGGAAUGCGUAGAUAUCGGGAGGAACACCAGUGGCGAAGGCGGUUGCCUGGAGCUUUGCUGACGCUGAUGCGCGAAAGCGUGGGGAGCGAUCCGG